This 459-nucleotide ribosomal RNA is filed under the name uncultured bacterium. RNAcentral describes it as "partial 16S ribosomal RNA". It matches the Rfam family "Bacterial small subunit ribosomal RNA", at positions 338 to 795 of the family's 1533-position model. The record is from RNAcentral.
CCUACGGGUGGCAGCAGUGAGGAAUAUUGGUCAAUGGGCGGAAGGCUGAACCAGCCAAGCCGCGUGAGGGAGGAAGGCGCUGAGCGUUGUAGACCUCUUUUGCCGGGGGACAAAAGCCGGGACGUGUCGCGUCCUGAGGGUACCCGGAGAAAAAGCAUCGGCUAACUCCGGGCCAGCAGCCGCGGUAAUACGGAGGAUGCGAGCGUUAUCCGGAUUUAUUGGGUUUAAAGGGUGCGCAGGCGGCCAGUUAAGCCGGCGGUAAAAUCGCGGGGCUCAACCCCGCCGGGCCGUUGAAACUGGGGUGCGUGAGUGGGGGAGAGGUAUGCGGAAUGCGCGGUGUAGCGGUGAAAUGCAUAGAUAUCGCGAAGAACCCCGAUUGCGAAGGCAGCGUGCCGGGUCGACACUGACGCUGAGGCACGAAAGCGUGGGGAUCGAACAGGAUUAGAUACCCUUGUAGUC